GGAAGAUCCUUUUAGAUAUUAUUUACUCAUUAGACAGACCGAUAAAGAAACUAAAGCCCAGAGCAGGGCAGUAGCUGCUGGAGGGCCCAGAGCCACGUGGUAGGAGAGCUGGGAGAGAGGCCUGGGUACUGAGAGAGCUGCUGUGUUUGGGCUGCUCUACACAUCCCCGUGUUUCUGUAUUCCUCCAUGCUCACGGAGUCUUCCUCAGACUUCAGUCUCCAGAUGUGCCAUAGUUUAAUUUGGGGGUCCUCAAGUCAAAAUUUCAAGAACUGAAGAAUACGGAUCAUGAGACCUGCUGAAUAACAUCGAAGGAACUUCUGAACACGCCACCAUUUAAGCGGAGAGGGUCCCUCCCUUCCGCUGCAAUCAGGCUAUUACAGGCUCGCUCUGCCUCUUACCCGCUGGGCGCAGGCCAAGCCCAGAGCCCGGGGCUCCUACUAUGACUUGGCUGAGCAGCAAGCUAUUCAUCCACACGUCCAAGGCCACUUUUGUGCGAACAGCUUCGCAUCACCUGCCCCUGGAGACUUCGGAUCACCCCUCUGCUCCCCCGCCCUCCCCUGCUCCAGCCCCUCUCUGGCUGUGCAGGAGCCAAAGGGGAUUUGUGAUAACAGAGUCACAGGCACAGGCCCAACCCAGGCCCGAGGAGCUUGACCUGAGGCAAGAGCAUAGCCCAGAACAACACACGCCACUCCCCAGCAAGGAGGGGUGGCCCGGCACUCAAAUCGAAAACUCCUGGGCUUUUGAUGGAAGCCAUAAAACAAAGGUAGUAUUCCAGAAGGAAUCUCAGAUCCUUGUUCAUACUGGAGCCCAAGUGACCAUUAAAACAAGAGGCUGCUUCUCCAUAGGCAGUUCCGAGGAUCAAGGUUUCUGUUAAUUCUGGAUUUGGAAAAACAUACCUGGGAAGGAGGCAGGCACUCCCACUGCAUUACCUCUGAGAAAGACACAAUUCGCAGAUCCACCAAACCAGACGAUGCUGCUGGCGGAAAAAUGUGCACGCUCUGGUGUUCGUGCAAGAAUGAGAAGACCUCUGUGGCGCAGUGGCAGGAGGUUAUAAAAAUAACACAGACUCACUGUAUACAACUUGUAAAAUACAGAAGUGUAUAAAGAAGGAAAUAAAACUACCAUUAACCCGUGCUCCAGAGGUCUUAGAAUGUCCAUCAGGAGGGAACGCUUUGAACCAGGCAUCACGCUCUGGGCGGGAUUCCAAGUCAGCCCUGAAAACAGUCAGAGCUACCCCGGGUCCCCUCCUGGCUGCGCAGAAUGGCUGAAAGAGUGGGUUCUCCCUUCUGCCCGGCCCCCCACCCCGGCUCGGUUCCCCACGUCGUCUGAAGAGCCCGCUCUGAGCCCAGACAGCGACGAGACAAGGCGCUUUUCUUACGGCAGGACAUCCUCUCCUCACCCAGACCUCCAAGGAUUUCUCAUCAGAGAGACAAAGUGUCUUUAUUUUAAAGGCUCCAUGUAGCAGGGCCAGAAGUUUCUUGUGUUAUUAAGAAGGGGGUGGGGGAGGGGAAAGGGCCGAUGAGGCUACUUACUUAAUAGCUCCUAACAGCUGUGGAAAGUUUGAUGCAGCAGGAGCACCCGGACAGAAAAUUAAAAAACUAAUAAAGUCCUCAGUGUGGGGGCGCUGGCAUCAGGACAGCUUUACUUCUCCAGACACCUAAUAAAGAGACAUUCCGGGACACUCACUCAUAAGGGGAGUCUGCAGGGGUCACCGGGAACAGUGGAAAGUGAGCCAUGGAAACCUAGCAGUCACUCACAGCGCCGUGGGGAAGUUUCGUUUGCUUCUCCUCUUCCCCGCCCCCCCCCCACCUCCGCUUUUCGCCGUUUUGGAAGAAUGGCAGGGUGCUCAGGACCCAAAGAAGGAAAAGGAGGACUGAAAAAAGAGAAAAAGAGGAGGGGGGCGAUUCCAGGAGCCUCAAUGUAGAAAUCAUGCACUUUCAUGGAGGGAACGAGCGUGAAGCUGAGGUUGGCAGUUUAGACAUAGCAGGACGGGAGGUGAUGGUCACCAUGCAGGGGCACGUUGAGAUCCCGAGGCGGCUGGCUUCUGGAGGUAGCAGAGAAAGGCGGUUUAGAGAAAUGAGGUUUAUUCAGCUGGAUUUUAUGAAGCACCCUCCUCACGAAAGGUUUUCUCGUGUGGGUUUUUCCACUGUCGUUACGAGGUCAUUUUGGAUCUGAGCUCCUUGGGGUCUGCUAGGUUCUGGGUUGCUGGGUUGGGACUUUUGCUUUAAAGGACAUUUAUGUUGUUUUGUCUUGGUCCUCAAGUUGGGCUUUGUGUAUUUGAAGAAAAAAUAUGAUGACUUGGGACAACCAAACCAUCAGCCAGUUGUGGAGGCAUCCACUGAGCUGGUGGGGCCAGUCUUCUCACACACACAACGUGCCAGCACCAAAGGUAGACUGCAGUGGCCUGCUAACAAAAGGAGAGUACAGUGGAAUGAGUCAGCCAGAGCAAGACAAAUACUGUGGGAUCUCACUCACAUGUGAAAUCUAAAAGAAUCGAACUCAUAGAAACAAAACAGAUAGGUGUUUGCCAGAGGCGGGUGGAAGGGGUGUGU
This 2552-nucleotide long non-coding RNA is filed under the name Equus asinus (donkey). RNAcentral describes it as "lncRNA (ENSEASG00005033899.1)". The record is from RNAcentral. Lineage: Eukaryota; Metazoa; Chordata; Mammalia; Perissodactyla; Equidae.